AUUGAACGCUGGCGGCAUGCCUUACACAUGCAAGUCGAACGGUAGCAGGUCUUCGGAUGCUGACGAGUGGCGAACGGGUGAGUAAUACAUCGGAACGUGCCUAGUAGUGGGGGAUAACUACUCGAAAGAGUGGCUAAUACCGCAUGAGAUCUAAGGAUGAAAGCAGGGGAUCGCAAGACCUUGUGCUACUAGAGCGGCCGAUGGCAGAUUAGGUAGUUGGUGGGAUAAAAGCUUACCAAGCCGACGAUCUGUAGCUGGUCUGAGAGGACGAUCAGCCACACUGGGACUGAGACACGGCCCAGACUCCUACGGGAGGCAGCAGUGGGGAAUUUUGGACAAUGGGCGAAAGCCUGAUCCAGCAAUGCCGCGUGCAGGAUGAAGGCCUUCGGGUUGUAAACUGCUUUUGUACGGAACGAAAAGCCCCGGGUUAAUACCCUGGGGUCAUGACGGUACCGUAAGAAUAAGCACCGGCUAACUACGUGCCAGCAGCCGCAGUAA
RNAcentral lists this ribosomal RNA (498 nucleotides) under uncultured bacterium. RNAcentral describes it as "partial 16S ribosomal RNA". It matches the Rfam family "Bacterial small subunit ribosomal RNA", at positions 30 to 523 of the family's 1533-position model. The record is from RNAcentral.